This 440-nucleotide ribosomal RNA is filed under the name uncultured bacterium. Its description in RNAcentral is "partial 16S ribosomal RNA". It matches the Rfam family "Bacterial small subunit ribosomal RNA", at positions 338 to 795 of the family's 1533-position model. The record is from RNAcentral.
CCUACGGGAGGCUGCAGUGGGGGAUAUUGCACAAUGGGGGAAACCCUGAUGCAGCGACGCCGCGUGUGGGAAGACGGUCCUCUGGAUUGUAAACCACUGUCCCCAGGGACGAAGAUGACGGUACCUUGGAAGGAAGCUCCGGCUAACUACAUGCUAGCAGCCGCGGUAAUACGUAGGGAGCGAGCGUUGUCCGGAAUUACUGGGUGUAAAGGGAGCGUAGGCGGGGAGACACGUUGGGUGUAAAAACUACCGGCUAAACUGGUAGACGCACGUAAAACUGCAGCUCUUGAGUGAAGUAGAGGCAGGCGGAAUUCCUAGUGGAGCGGUGAAAUGCGUAGAUAUUAGGAGGAACACCAGUGGCGAAGGCGGCCUGCUGGGCUUUUACUGACGCUGAGGCUCGAAAGUGUGGGGAGCAAACAGGAUUAGAUACCCUUGUAGUC